Sebastes umbrosus (honeycomb rockfish) is the source of this 4850-nucleotide RNA transcript. It is a transcript of the gene named sodium/myo-inositol cotransporter-like, with no coding region annotated. The record is from RefSeq and is a predicted model, not a curated record. NCBI's taxonomy places the organism in Eukaryota, Metazoa, Chordata, Actinopteri, Perciformes, Sebastidae. The transcript is spliced from 6 exons.
GCAAGAUUCGCAAUUUACGGGUUACCUUCUGGACACCACUCCCCCUCAGAGUGUGAGCAUCGUGUUUUCCUGCAGUGGGAGGAGGCUCCAGCUCCUCUUCACAGAGGGACCUAUUGGUUCUCCAAUAACCAGUCCGACAGCCGAAACUUUCCACAGCAGACAAACUGGGAGAGACACGGAGGAGAACCACGCGCCCACCAGGAUCCAGAUGACAAUGCACCGCCAUUCAGCAAGCUGCAACCUGCAUUGAUUCCCAAAGCUGAGGUUAACUACAGAGGAAAAAGGAACAUUUAUCUCAGAUAUAUAUGAUGAUUUUGUCGCCCAGCUGAAUACCACACUCUAAAAUCAGAUUAAAACUGGACUUAAAUUAGUAGUUUCAGUGUAUCUGCACUUGUGUUUUAUAUCUAGGGUCAUAACUAGAUAUAAAGUGCAAAGUUAUCUCCAAUAAACGCAGCACAAAAGUGCUCAAACAUGACCGCCACUAUGGAAGCGGCAGACAUCUCCGUCGUAGCAGUCUACUUCAUCCUGGUGUUGGCGAUCGGUUUCUUUGCCAUGAGGAAAGCCAAUAAGAACACAGUGAGCGGCUACUUCCUCGCCGGUCGCUCCAUGAAUUGGGCGGCUGUGGGAGCGUCUUUAUUCGUCAGCAACAUAGGAAGCGAGCAUUUCAUUGGACUAGCUGGAUCAGGUGCUGCUAGCGGGCUCAGCGUGGCCGCGUGGGAGUUAAACGCUCUCUUGUUGCUCCAGUUGUUGGGCUGGAUAUUCAUCCCGGUGUAUAUCCACUCCGGAGUCUACACCAUGCCGGAGUACCUGUCCAAGCGGUUCGGCGGGAACCGACUGAAAGUGUAUUUUGCAGCGUUAUCCCUCAUCCUGUACAUCUUCACCAAGCUGUCCGUUGAUCUCUACUCCGGGGCUUUGUUCAUUCAGGAGUCCUUAGGGUGGAAUAUGUAUUUGUCAAUCAUCCUCCUCAUCGCCAUGACAGCUUUGCUGACAGUCACUGGAGGUCUGGUCACUGUCAUCUACACGGAUACGGUCCAGGCGUUCCUCAUGAUCGCCGGAGCACUCUGCCUCUCGGGCAUCAGCAUCUACAAAGUGGGAGGAUUUGAAGGGGUGUGGACCAAGUACAUGCAGGCUUCUCCAAACAUCACCGCCAUCUUGCUGUCUUCACCCAACCUGACGUAUUCUGAGUCCUGCCACCUCCACCUCCACCCGAAGCCAGAUGCUCUGAAGAUGCUCCGAGGCCCGAGGGAUCCAGACCUGCCUUGGCCCGGUUUCUUACUGGGCCAGACUCCUGCCUCGAUUUGGUACUGGUGUGCAGAUCAAGUGAUUGUACAGCGGGUUCUGGCAGCGAAGAACAUCGCCCACGCCAAAGGUUCUACUAUCAUGGCUGGCUCUCUGAAAAUCCUCCCCAUGUUUAUCAUCGUCAUCCCAGGGAUGAUUUCCAGGAUCUUCUUCGCUGAUGAGUUGGCGUGCAUCAGCCCGGAGCACUGCGUGGAAGUGUGCGGUUCCGCGUCCGGCUGUAGCAACGUGGCUUACCCGCGGCUCGUCAUGGCGGUGAUGCCCGUCGGUCUCCGCGGCCUAAUGAUGGCCGUCAUGAUCGCGGCUCUGAUGAGCGACUUGGACUCCAUCUUCAACUCCGCGAGCACCAUAUUCACGUUGGACAUUUACAAGAUGUUUCGGAAGCAGGUGUCGUCCAGGGAGCUGGUGAUAGUCGGCAGGUUGUUUGUGGUCUUCAUGGUGAUCGUCAGCAUCGCGUGGGUGCCGGUCAUCAUCGAGAUGCAGGGCGGCCAGAUGUUCUAUUACAUCCAAGAAGUAACAGAUUACCUGACUCCACCCAUAGCUGCUCUCUUCUUGCUCGGCGUCCUGUGGCGUCGCUGCAACGAGACGGGCGCCUUCUGGGGCGGGGUGGUGGGGUUCGUCCUCGGAGCGGCGCGUCUGAUUUUGGCGCUCGUUUACCGCGAGCCCCGCUGCGACCAGCCUGACGAGCGGCCGUCUUUCAUCAAAGAUGUUCAUUUCAUGUAUGUGGCGGCCGUCUUGUUUUGGGUGUCGGCUUUGGUGACUGUGGUCGUGAGUCUCUGCACUCCUCCGCCCACAAAAGAACAAAUCAGAACCACGACCCUGUGGGGGUUAAACGAGAGAAAGAGACUAAAAGAGCAGGAAAAAGAGAAAGCUGGAGAGGAGAUAAAUGCUUUGAAGCCUCUAAACCACGCGAUCCUGAAUGGAAACAGUUUGCUCGGUAAAGAAAAGUGUCAAGAGCAGUCAGACAAUGGUGGUGCUAUCCCAACCAGUGACAAAGAAUCACACCCGAUUGCUGAUCCUAAAAUGGUAGAAGAGGAAGAGGAAGGCUUCCUUGGAGGAGGAGGAGUGGAGGGUGGGAGGUGUAUGAAGGCUUUAGAGUGUUUCUGUGGCUUCCGGGGGAAGCCGUCCGAAGCUCAGGUCAUCACAGUCCAGCAGCAGGAGAAGAUCGUGGACGAGCUUCUCCACGAACCUCGACGAGCCAGAAUCCUCCUGAAUACAGCGCUUGUGACGAUUUGCUCCGUUGGGAUCUUUCUCUAUAUCUAUUUCUCCGUAUAGGCUCGUUUAAUUCCAAGCAGUUGGACACGUCCGUCCACAAACUACAAGCAGGAAUGGUCUGCAGGGAAGCGUCAUGCCCUCUGGGGCUUCAGCUAUUUACAAAAGGAUGAGGCAGCAUUGGGGGAACACGACUCAUACAUCAGAAAACAUAAAAAUGUCAGUCAGGUAUUCUUUAUUACCGUAGAGAUUGCUUAAUUCUGAUAGGCCUUAUUAUUUAUUUACUUAUUAUUUCCCAUAGUAUAGCUGCAUGUAUGUAGUUAUUCCCUGGAAAUGUACAUAUAAACUGUAAAACAAUUAAAUGUGAAAGUAGAACUUCUGCCUGAGGGCAGGGACGUAUAAUGACCCAGCAGGUUAUACGUGGUAUGUGGUAUGUGAAGCACACGUCUUAUCCUCCAGUAAAAAGACAUAACAAGGAAACAUGCCUCCAGUCAGAGAGUUAAGAUGACAUUAAAAACAGACUCUGCCGCAGUGGAAAGUUACAGACUGGAAGUGGAAAGUUACUGGGUAGACACACACCGCACUGUUUUUUUUUUCUUUUCUUUCUUUCUUCUGGUGUCUUCAAGUUCAUAAUCCUCAAUACAGGCUGCUGAAGAAAGUGAUAGGAAAAGUGAAUACAGGUGCCAAAGUAAUGGAAGCACUUUUUUACGAUAAGUAAUGAGAAAGUAAGUUAAAAUAUUUGGAAAAUAUGAUGUGCAAAAGUAUGUAAAAUCAGAGCACAAAGUUUGUAGAAGCUGAAACAGUGUGCCAACAUUUUGUUACUAACAUCAUUAACACUGGCACACAUUCACAAUAUCAGGACCCUCAUACUGACGUGGUGCUUUUGGAUGUCAGCGAAUAGACAGUCCUGAGGGAGUUCAUUAAUUUGAGAAUUUUUUAUGGAACUGUGUAAGCUGCAUUGUGUCUCCAAACCCCCCAAAGACUGGCACCACAUAAACAAGUUGCACAACCGCAGUUUGACAAUGGGACAUUCUGUCCCACCCAUGAAAUUUCAAAUAAUCCAUGCACAAAAUACUAAAACACGCACUUGUUUUGUACUUUUCCUGAGACAAAAUGUAUAUGUAGUUUAGAAAAAUUGGAUCCAAAAUAUUAUUUAAAACACCAAAUAGCUCUCGAGAGCAUUUUCCUCGUCCCACCUUCUUGAUGACCAAAUUGCAUGUCAAUUUGUACAGUUAAAAUAAGUUUUAAAUCUACUUUUUUGGUAUGAUUUUGUUGAUAUAUGUCUCUUGUAUUUGUUAAAACAAUAUGUUUAAUCAUUAACAUGUUUUAAAUAACAGUAAUUAUGCAUUGAAGUUGUGUACUGAAACCUAUUUAGGCUGGCACAGGAAGAGAAAAAACAGUGAGUCACAUGACACACAGGAAAUGACAUCAUCGAGCCAUGUGCUAAUACCAUGGGUAAGUCCUCUCUUCUAUUAUUCAGAUUUUUCCAAUCUCUUCAGCCUUGAUGAUGUGUGUCACUCUAACCAACUCAUAUUAUCAGAAUAAGAAAAAAAUAUUCUUUCUUUAUUUAUAUAUCUGAGUUUGUCCAUAACCUUGACAGUAACAUUACGUUAAACUUUUGAAUUAUUCAUAAUUGAAUUAAAUGAGUAUUCAAUGUGAAUGUGACUUUUUUUACUUGAUUGUAAAGGAUUUAUUAAACAAUAUUAAUCUAAAAUAUACUUUUCAGGUUCAGUAGAGUAUUGGUAACAGGGUUGCACCAAGCAUAGCACACAACAAAUAAAACAUCUCAUGAAAAGUGCACCUUUGAUGCCUGAGCUGCAGAAAUCAAAUUAUUUGAUGGUUUAUUAGCUAUUUUUCUUAAAUACAUAACAGAAAAUGAUAAAUUAAAUGCCUAAAUUGUCCUCCAAUUCUGGAGUGACCCCAAUAUUGUAUUACAACAUUGAAUUUCCAAAGGCACGUCCCCGUACUGUGCUAAAAUAUCACACCAGCACAGGCAAGCAACCAUACAGGAUGUAGAGAAUGAUGAGCUGCAUAAAUACUAACCUGCUAUUCAACAGCAGCUACAAUUUGACCACUGAAUUAACUUCCUGUGUGUGUGUGAGGGAGGGAGAGAGUAUAAAAUUAGCGACCCAAUCGGAGCUGACAAUAAACCACAGAAAACACAUAUAUGUGUUUGUGGGUCGCAGUUUAAAACCUACGACAUGCAUUCAUAGAAUGUUUAAUAUUGGUGGACCACCGACCCCCAAACAAUAUGGUAAACCAGUCGUUGGCAUCAAAAAACAUCUUGGCAAACAGUGUGAGUUGUGGGAAGUGCAUCAGAAAAAAACGCCAGCACAACUUCC